RNAcentral lists this ribosomal RNA (4166 nucleotides) under Triticum aestivum (bread wheat). RNAcentral describes it as "partial small subunit ribosomal RNA". The record is from RNAcentral. Lineage: Eukaryota; Viridiplantae; Streptophyta; Magnoliopsida; Poales; Poaceae.
GCCUCAUCCUCUUCUCCGGCGCCGCCACCCCACCCCUUCUAUCGAGCGGUGUUGCCUCUCCUUCCCGGGACGGGGAGGGGGACGGGAAAGGGAGGCCCGAGGGCGGCAAGUUCCGUCAGAUGGUAGUGGCCGUCGCCUCGGAGGGCGCAGGGGAGGCGCGCUGCUCGCGUCGCUCACGGAGCCUUGAGAGGCGCUCUUGUUCUGCACGGAGGACGCCGGGGGCUACUUCCCCGUCGAGUCCGCCGCCCGGGCGCUUGUGCGGCUGGCCGAUGCCGAGGUCGCCAGCCCCGACGAGAUGCUGCUCGCCGUGCGCGCCAUCACCUGCAGCUGGUUGGAUAUUAGUUAUGAAGGUUGUCCCUGGAUUUUUGCUCUAUCGAGGACUGCAUGAGCUUGGUCAAUAUGCAUUCUUGGAAAUUCUCUGGGAGCCAGCCAUAAAGAAGGAAUUCCUAUUGUAUCCUGUGGCAUUCUUAGUUAGGAAUUUGUUAUUGCCAUCAGAAGGUGUACUACUUGACCAUGCAGAAUACAAGGUGUCACGAUGAUUUGAUGAGCUUGACCACGUCAUCCCUGCCAGUGCCGAUUAGCUCAGCCUUGGUGGCGGCGGGCUCCUGGACCACCUCAAGCAGGCGCCUGCUGCAGCGGCCGACAUGUGAGGGGCAAAUUAUAUUUCAAUGAUACAAAUGGCUGAUGUUAGUUUUGGUAUAUAUGUGGUCAAGAAGGUUGUCAAGUAGUGAUGGCCUCAGAUUUGUUAUGGGGCAGUUUUUUUUAAUAGAGCGCUUCUUGCGCACAAGCACUGGAACCAUCGGUCUAUGACAUACAUGAUUCUCUAUAACUUCUACCAGAAUGCUUUCUUUGUGUUAAUGCUCUUCUGGUACGUAUUCCCACCUCUGUGUGUUUCUCAUAUGAUGUAAGCUCAGUAUAUCUGUGUUACCUUUGUUACCUGUCACCUACAAUUUGACUAUCCAAAUGUAUGAAUAUACGGAAGCAUCAUCCCGCACUCCCUUUUGGCCUUUUUGGACCCCUUGUAAUGUACACUGGUCUAAUUAAGUUCUUAAUGAAUUGAUUUAGGCACACUACAUAUUCUGUAACUCUUGUGCUGAUAGAUUAGAGUACUGCUUUCCAUUCCAUUAUCUGCACAUCAGUACCCACAGUAGUGGUUGAUAUUCUAGAGGACUUACUCAUAAUAGUCAUAAUACCCUUCUUUAUUGUCUGAGACUAUUGAGGCAAAGCUUCAAAAUGAGAGCUACAACCUGACACUCUUCUGAAACAUAAUGGUAGAUACCUUGUAACAUAGCCUUGUCCUUUCCUAUGUACAUUUCUUCACAUAAAAUAUCAGUUCUGUUUCAUGUAGCAGUCUUCUUUGUUAGUAAUGUUCCAUGUUUCUGUUUACAUGUACGUUCAUUAAUUUUCCCGUUUGAACCCCCUUAAUUAGUAAGGUGAUCUCACAAGCUUGGGUCCUAAACCACAAGAGCUCGAGAAAGUCGUCAUACAUUCCUUCUGUAGUGCACUAGCAACCUCGGAUACAAGUACCAGUGGUGGUUUCUCUGUUCAUAGGAGACAUGCUGAAGACUGUCUUCCUCGGACGGUUAGCAUUGCAAGCACUUUUUGACUCCACUUGAUGUCUACAAAAUUUCUGGCUUAUUGAAUGAUAUGGUUACUUGCAAGACAUGUCGUAGAAUCCACAUAGAACCGAGUGGCAUUUUCCUCACAUUUCAUGGUGAUUUUAAUUUGAGCAUUCAGCUUGAAUACCCUUUAAACUUUCCGUCGUUGUGCUCUUAUAGUUUUGGUGUAGCACUUCAUGUCACAACUGAAUGUUGAAUUCUUACCACUGCAGAAACUUCAACAUAUACUGAUUCAUUAGAUAAUGAGUAUGUGUGAGCUCUUGUUGUCUUUCUGGUUGAAUGUUGAAUUCUUACCACUGCAGAAACUUGCAACAUAUACUGAUUCAUUAGAUAAUGAGUAUGUGUGAACUCUCUCUGUCUUUCUGGUUCUACCUCAUGCCAUCAGUGUUUUGUGUUUCAGAUGCCCUAAUCUCCCUUGUAUUUAAGCGUCAUUUAUUAGCUCUUCCGAAAUUUGUCGCCAAAGUAAGUGGAAUGGGCGCUUUCAACCUGGCACCGCCCAGAUUUCUCUCAAGAGGCGCCACUAGGUGGCGCCCCAACCCCUAGUGUGCAUGAAAGGCAGACACACUCCGGCUGAGGUUAACUAUAUCUACACACGAAGUCGGGCGAGCACGCAACUGUACACGUUUGUUGGCUGGGCGCAACUACAGUCUAUAGUUGUACACCUGCCGUCCGCAUACAACUUCUUUUUUGCGAGUGUCCGCAUACAACUACAAUUGCACAUUCCUCAUUGGCCACACGCAAGUACAAUUGCACAUGCAAUACAUGUUUUACAAUUGGGCUGCUAGAUUUUUAAGUUGUAGUAUUUAUGUUUUUCAUAUUUAUGAAAAUAUAUUAGAACAUUAGAUCUCAUGCAAUACAUGUUUUAAAUUAUCGUAACAUCUAUAGCCAUAUAUGAAAAUGCACAUAUUUGAAACAACCAUCUGAGGGACAGACUUUAUGUCACACAACGACUACUUUUCCGUGUCAAAGACCGCUUAGUGGCCAGUAACGCGCGACUUGAAUUUUUUCUAUUACACUAUACCUUUUUAAACAAAACUAGAUAAUUGCCUGUGCCUUGUAAGGAUAUAAAUAUUCUAAUAGUAUGUUAGUUCAGGAUUUACCUGCUCAUAUUGAUGUGAUUAUGUAAAUAAAUGUUUAUCAAAUCAAUGUCAUAAUUUACCUAUCUAAAUAAAUUUAGUAUUUUAUUUGGUAAGAACUAACUGAGUUAACAAAAAAACAUAAAUUUAUUUGGUAAGUCAAUAAAAUGUGGGAUAGUUAAGACCGUUUCAAGAAAAACCGGUAAAAACAAGAGAUCAGAGGGGGAAAAUCAAAACAAAGAGAGGAAGAGGAAAACGUAGGUAAGGUUUGAUGAAGCACCAUGCCUAAUAAUUGGUGUUUUUUUAAUCCUAUCCCCAACUAUGGUGUUAUUUUGUAAUUUUAUCCUCGGCCCAAUAUAAAUUAUAGCUAUGCCUAUUAGAAAUACAAAUCUCUAUCUCUAUCUCUACUACUUAAAAGGAAUCCAAGGUUUCCCCUCCGGUCUUGCGUUCUCAUUUUCUUCCGCCUCCAACCCGUUUGGAUUUUUUACCACCUCCCAUGAUUACAAUUUUUUUCUUACCGAAACGUUGUUUUCUCACAUGUUUAUCAAUCGUAACCCUUUCCCUCUUCCCGCCUUGCGCGAACUGGUGUCUCAGUGAGAUCGGGUGGGUGGGCGUGCCUCAUGCAGGAUUUGGUCUGGAUGAUGCUCCUAUCCUCGAGAGCUCGACGCUGAGGGCGAUCCACCGCUGCCACUGCCAGCCUUCUGAUCCACAACUGACAGACAUGUCUCGAGAUCACCAUGCGCCUAGGGCUUCAUGCACCAUGCAAAGGGACGUGGCCACUAUGACGAGGCUGUGCAGCUCACCUCCAAGCACAUGUCCAAGGUAAGCUUGGCUACUCCUUAGGCUUUGUGAUGAACAUGUUUUCUUCAGUUUUCAGGAUGGUCAUGUUGACGAUUUCAAGAUCUUGAUUGCAAGGUAAAACCAAACUCUGUCCAAUAAAAAAUUGGCAUAGCUUAACAUGCUCAGAAGGGUAAGCUUAUUUCAUUGGAGUUAUCACGUCCAAUAUUCAGAAGAGGAUAUUCAUGUUGAUGCAUUAUCCAUAAUUAUUCUCGUUGUAAGGACGUGAUUCCAAGGGGGUCAUGGAAAGUUUGGAUUUACUUUUGUUAUGGGAAGCUUGCAUCAGUUGUUGCAGAAAAAAUGCAUUGCUCAUAAAGAAGUAUUCUGGGCUUUUGAGAUAUAAAUUCUGGUGUUUAGAUAUUCUAUAUUUUAGAACCUAAUGUUGCAUACCGAGCACUAUUUUUGCCAGUUGAAAGCUCCACCGGGUGCCUUCUACAGAGUAGUUAGUUGCCAGACUCCAUUGUUAUUGUAUUUCUUAGCUAUUCGAGGUGUAUAUAAUAGUGUAAAUGCUUCAUAAAAUAACAAAAAUGUAUUGAAUGCAUAAUAGAACUGUAUAGCGUUUGCCCUUGGAGAAACUUGUAUGGAGUCAUAUUGUGAUCUUCUAGAUUUAUGUUAUGAUGUUACAAGCUCAAAA